AAAGUCGUAACAAGGUUUCCGUAGGUGAACCUGCGGAAGGAUCAUUACAAAUCGUUAGUUGGGGGGUGUAGGGUUAAUAAUCCUCACUAAUCCAACACAUUUGCGCUUGUGUUGUUUGACAGAGUUACAUCCUUAUAAUAGAGACAACUUUUAACAAUGGAUCUCUUGGCUCUU
Molecule: unclassified non-coding RNA, 174 nt
Filed under: Rozellomycota sp.
Lineage: Eukaryota; Fungi; Rozellomycota
Description: Cryptomycota sp. partial contains small subunit ribosomal RNA, internal transcribed spacer 1, and 5.8S ribosomal RNA
Rfam family: Eukaryotic small subunit ribosomal RNA (bases 1-47)
Source: RNAcentral